CUUAUCGCUGCUCAGGGAGGUUUUGUUCUGUGGAAUGCUGUUUCUCUCUUUGCGAUCAACCCUGCGUCUCUUUUCUUACUAGACAUUUUUGACUUUUAUGAAUUUACUUAGAAAAUCACAUUCUCAGAGUAAUCAGGAGUUCCUCUUUCUAGGAUGGGUUUGACCCUCCUGCCCUCCCCCACUGGAAAGUUUCCCUAAGACAGGUUUGCAAAAAAGCACUCGCGCAGUCUUUUCAACUCACGAUGACUGUUCACAAGGCACAAUUGUUUGUCUUCGACUUGGAAUUCAUCUCCAUUGAGCCAGGAACAAAAUCAAGGCGACAGAGGUUUUAAAAUUCAGACAGGAAGUUCUGCCCUUUUGACCCGGGAAACCAAGAGGAAGGUAAAUGUGGAGGCAUGGCUGCCCUGAGUGGUCAAUCUGGGUCCUAGCCAGGCCCCUGAGACUACCUAGCUGUGUGACGUCUGGCUGGCCCUCACUUCUUCAGGCCUCAUUAAUACCGUGAGGCCAAGACGACUUCAAAACUACUCUCGGUAUUAAAGAUAACGGAUAAGAUGUGCAGACUCUCCAAGCCAGACUUCAUGGGCUGUGGUACUUUGCUGAGUUAUCCAGUGUUUCUGCUCCAAGUUCGCAUGCCUGGGAUGGAGAAUUGAACCAGCUCAGAUGAGGAUCGCAUGCCCACUGUAGAGGCUGUGAUGGUGGCGUCUUGGGCUUGGUUGCAGAGCCUCAUGUGGAAGGUUGGAGGGCAGGUCCUCAAAGAAAUGGCUACCAGACAGACAUCCACUGCAUAGUGACCACUUUUCUUAGAGCCACUUGGGGCUUCAAUUCACUCAACCCCAGGGAUGAAUCACAAUGGAAGCCUCUUACUCCUUUGCCUAUGAUUGGACUAAAGAUGACAUGUAACCCAAAUCUGGGCUGUGAAAAAUAAUGCCAAGUCUACUGGGAACUUCUGGAAAGAUUUUCCUCCCUGAUGAGUCACAUGAAGAUAAAGAUUUUUUGUACUUUUUCUUCCUUCCUUCUUGGUGGGAAU
Molecule: long non-coding RNA, 1027 nt
Organism: Hippopotamus amphibius kiboko
Lineage: Eukaryota; Metazoa; Chordata; Mammalia; Artiodactyla; Hippopotamidae
Exons: 4
Source: RefSeq, a predicted model, not a curated record